AACGAACGCUGGCGGCAGGCUUAACACAUGCAAGUCGAACGCACUCUUCGGAGUGAGUGGCAGACGGGUGAGUAACGCGUGGGAACGUACCUUUCGGUUCGGAAUAACCCAGGGAAACUUGGGCUAAUACCGGAUGCGCCGGAAACGGGAAAGAUUUAUCGCCGAAAGAUCGGCCCGCGUCGGAUUAGCUAGUUGGUGGGGUAAAGGCCUACCAAGGCGACGAUCCGUAGCUGGUCUGAGAGGAUGAUCAGCCACACUGGGACUGAGACACGGCCCAGACUCCUACGGGAGGCAGCAGUGGGGAAUAUUGGACAAUGGGCGAAAGCCUGAUCCAGCCAUGCCGCGUGAGUGAAGAAGGCCUUAGGGUUGUAAAGCUCUUUCAGCGGGACGAUAAUGACGGUACCCGCAGAAGAAGCCCCGGCUAACUUCGUGCCAGCAGCCGCCGUAAC
This 449-nucleotide ribosomal RNA is filed under the name uncultured bacterium. Its description in RNAcentral is "bacterial SSU rRNA". It matches the Rfam family "Bacterial small subunit ribosomal RNA", at positions 29 to 524 of the family's 1533-position model. The record is from RNAcentral.